Poecilia latipinna (sailfin molly) is the source of this 634-nucleotide long non-coding RNA. RefSeq lists it as uncharacterized. NCBI's taxonomy places the organism in Eukaryota, Metazoa, Chordata, Actinopteri, Cyprinodontiformes, Poeciliidae. The record is from RefSeq and is a predicted model, not a curated record. The transcript is spliced from 3 exons.
GCCGGUGCCUGUUGCGCCUGUGCCUGUCGCCCCGGUGCCUGUCGCGCCUGCUCCCAGCUCAGCUCUGCACUCAUACUUUCCGGCGUCUUUCUUCACCACUUUCUUCAGCACCAGAGACAGGUCUCCUUUCUCUGCGUUUAGCAGAGACGUGCGGCCCUUAUAGGCUUCCAGCUGACGUGCAUCCACCUUCUUGUCCUUGUAGAGAAGAACCGGCGCCGAGGUCUGGUCGGGUCUGCUCCACUCUGCCUGGACAACAGCUUUGUCCCCAGCAGUUUUACAGGGCAGAAUGACGUCUGCUCCAGCUUUAGCUUUGUUUGGGACCGGAUCUGCAGGAGGAGAACAACACAGAGAAAAGACCCUCAUUGGCUGAUCGGACGCAGGAAAUAUGGCGGCCAUCUUGGAGAGGUCGUCUAUCCUACUUGGCUAAACCAAAACAGCAGAAGAAGUCAGAUAUGUUUGUUCGGAUUGACAGACUGUUGGCGUGAGACAUUUCACAAGUGAACUGUGGUCUCUGUUAGAUUCUGCAGUGGACCAGAAGAGGCGUAGCUCUAAUGCCACAGCAGAUGCCAUUGUUGAAGUGGAGCGAUAUGAACCUAAGGAGAUAUGAAGAUCCUUUGGAGUAUUGGCAUACACA